Molecule: ribosomal RNA, 440 nt
Filed under: Allocreadium isoporum
Lineage: Eukaryota; Metazoa; Platyhelminthes; Trematoda; Plagiorchiida; Allocreadiidae
Description: eukaryotic LSU rRNA
Rfam family: 5.8S ribosomal RNA (bases 3-147)
Source: RNAcentral
AUGCGGUGGAUCACUCGGCUCGUGUGUCGAUGAAGAGCGCAGCCAACUGUGUGAAUUAAUGUGAACUGCAUACUGCUUUGAACAUCGACAUCUUGAACGCAUAUUGCGGCCACGGGUUAGCCCGUGGCCACGCCUGUCCGAGGGUCGGCUUAUAAACUAUCACGACGCCCUACAAGUCGUGGCUUGGGUUUUGCCAGCUGGCUUGAUGGCCCUAUGCUUAGCUUCACGGCUAGGUUGGGGUGCCAGAACUGUGGCGUUUCCCUAAUGUAUCCGGGCACAUCUACAUCCUUGGUUAAAGAGGGAUGAGGACGUGGCGACGGAGUCGUGGCUCAAUGGUAUAACACGCUCCGAAUCGUAUUAGUCCGUCUCUAUGGAUGUGAUGUUGUCUGUCACUGAGUGCAUGCCAAUGGGUGCAUUCUAUUCCUUCCUCUAAUCAGCAU